This 4169-nucleotide long non-coding RNA is filed under the name Marmota monax (woodchuck). The record is from RNAcentral. Lineage: Eukaryota; Metazoa; Chordata; Mammalia; Rodentia; Sciuridae.
GCUGUGAAGCAAAAGAGGACUGCAGUCAAGGAAGACGUCUAAUGGCCCCGCUGAGGUGCUGCCAGACAGUCCAUCUGGCCAACAAAAUAUUUCUCAACUGCCUCCCCUCCCUUUCUCAGAUGUAGUGAUGGCUGUUUCCCAGAAAUCAACAUUUAUCUACUAUAAAUCUUCUGGUGGACCCACGUGAUGUUUGUACCACAUUAUCUUUCUUAUUCUCAUAAUUGCCUGGACUGUAUUCUUCUUAUUUAAUGCAUAUUACAGAAAAAAAAGCAUUCAGCAAUACUUGUUAAAAACUGUAAGGCAAACAAAUAUGUGCCUUGGACCAGCAUGAUAAAUGUAGGAAAAAUGGGAUUUUACAGGUGGGAUAGAUAUUGGGCCCAACCACAAGCACAGCAUGGGCAAGUGGGAAUUCAUAGCCCAAGAGUAGAUUGGAGAUCAAUGCAUGGAAAAUUAAAAAGAGGAACCCUCAGGAGUCAGGGGGAUCCUGGCUAACCUGACCUAACUAGAGAUAGACCAGAGUGAACAGAUAUCACCUGGGAGGUGAAAGAGGAUAGGAAAGACAGUAGAAUGAAUCAGAUAUGGGUGAUGAUCAGAUAGAGGGUUAAGAGGUUCUUGUUAAACUAAUUUAAGACGUUUUUGGCUGAAAGUGGAUUUUGUAAGAAUGUGCACAGGAAAAGGUUCAGCAGCUUGACUAAAGCGUGUCAAGCAAAGUCUGUUCGUCAAUAUGGGAUUUAUUUCUUUAAUUAAAUUCUAAACUAGUUGGAGCUGAAACCCAUAUUUUUCCUUUACGGACUCAGAGUACUCAGCAUAAUUCUAGGAAAAGAGUGGGUGCUUGACAAAUACUAAGUAUAGGACAGUACUUUCCAGGUAAUGUUAUCACAAAGCCAGAAGGUAAAAAUGGGCUUGUUUCCUCCCAAGGUUAUAUCCAAGGUUAUUAUAGUAAGAAGGAAAGGAAGUUGAGAUCCAAACCACACUGAGGAGUGGUAAGGACUAGAUGAAAGAUCUGUGAACACCAGUCAAGCCUGAAGGCCCUUGAGAACAAAUAGCUUGACAAAGAUUGUUAAUAAGAGUGGUUUCUCAUGAACGACAAAAUGUUCUGUAUCAAAAAGUGAAGCAAAUUAAAAAAAAAAAAACAACUUUAGGGAAAAAUAAACCAAUGGAAUCUAACUCGAAAGCCAUUCUAAGAAAAGUAAUUUUAGGACAAUUCUAUGCCUAGCAAACAGAAAGAAUUAGAAUAUUCAUGCUACCAGAUAGAUACCUGAUUCAUCUGAUCUACACCACCUCUGAUAGAUAUAUAGCUGUCUUUGUUUUCCUUAUUUUGAUCCAUGUUGACUCAACCAAAAACUUAAAUCACAAUUAUAAUAGCUAGUACUUUUUAACAUGUGCUCUGUGCCAAAAUCUUAUUUACUUUAUACGUAUUAUAAGGUAUGUAAUCAUUGCACUCAUGUAAUGAUUUAGGUACUAUUGAGGAAACAGUGGCUCAGAAACUUUAAAUAACUUACCCAAGGCUACACAGCUCACAAGCCAGGGUCUGAAGUGAACAGACAACAUUCCUAAAUCACCUUUCAUAACCACUAUGUUAUGAAGAGUCUCCAAUACAAGGAAAGCUUAUUUACUUGGGCCGUUUAAUUCUAUAUGUGUUGAUAUAAAAGUUAAACAAUCCUCUCUCCAAAUCAAUGCAUAUACUAUACUUUGCCCAGACUCAUUAAAACCCCCAACUGACCUUUCUGUUAUCUCCUCCUUCUCUCCUUCAUCUUCCAUGUUUUCACCAGAUGGAGGCAUUUUAUAAUGGCUUACCCGCUUGCUAGUGGUCUGUGGCUAAUUUUGGUUAGCCAUCAGUGGGGUUCCAAUAACAAGAGGUCUGGCAAGUGAAGCAGUAGGGUUGGUUUGGCUUUACUUUUAUUCUCUGAACCCACAACUCAUGAUUUGAAACAGUGCUUAAUCUCUUCUUGCAACUAAACUGAACUUUUCAUCAAUCUUGUCAAGGCUAUACCUAUCCAGGCUGAGGUCAUGUGAUUUUUUCCAUCUCCUAGAACAGACUUGAGAGGCAGCUGGAGGAAACAAUAGGAGAUUUGUAUCCUCUAUCAGGUGGUGGCUGGGCACUAGUUGCUACUUUGUGUAAAUUGUUGCAUGCCAUUGUCACAAUUGUGUUUUGAAGUGAGAAGUAUUGUAAUUGUCUCUGGAGGAAGCAGAAUGAUCCCAAUUUGAGAAAAAUACCCAAGUUCACACUGUUUCAAAGGACAGACAAUACGUGUUUCAGGUUUUCCUGAUUACAAAAUCUGUGCUCUCUGCACAAUGUCAGUCAUAUGGCAAAGGCCAGGAGUUAAUUGAGAGGUAAAGAAUUAUGAGAUUAAAACUGGUUAAGUGAAUCAUUUUUUUAUAGUAGAAACCAUCCUUAUAUAAGGGAUCACUACUAUGUGUUAGACUCUUUGAUGAGCACUUUGCAUGUGUUACAUGAUUUAACCCCUCACAACUCUAUGAAAUAGUUAUUAUUUGUAAUUUACAGAGAAGGAAAAAGAAGCUUAGAAAGAUUAAGAAGGAAUUUACCUGAGAUUGUAUAACAGGUAGUCUUUCUAGAUCCCUCACUCCUGUCCUUCAUCUGCCCUUUAUAGGACUAACACAAUUGAAGUGUUUUCUUUCUUACUUUGUUCCUACUUUGCUCCCUUUUUUUCCAACAUAGAUUGUGAGCGAGUGUGUGUGUGUGUGUGUGUGUGUGUGUAUGUGUGUCUGUGAGCAGUUGUGUGUAAAUAUCAAUGUAUACUUUUAAAAUGUCAGGCACUGUUCUAAACCCUUUGCUUUAACUUAAUUUAAUCUCCACAGCAAUCCUAAGCACUACGAUUACUAUGAUUCCUACCUUGUGGACAGGAAUGGGGCACAUAUGGGUUAAUCACCUGCUCAGUGUCACAGUGUUGAGGACAGGUACAUUCCAGGAACCGUGUGUAUAUGCUCACUGAGCUCAGCUGCCUGUGGCCACCUGAGCUCUUCCUAAUACUCAGAGCCGUCAUGUCCAACCCCCUUUCAAGGACCUCCAAUAAUCUACUACUAUUUAUAAAAUAAAUUCAAAGGUAUGUUUCCUCAUGUUAGAGGCUCUUCACAAUUUGCUUCUCUUAUAACAUUCCAUUUCAUUUAUUGAUUCUAUCUACUCUAGACUAUUUGUCACCCCUAAACUCGCCAGUGACACCCAGCUAUGGAUGAAUUUUAUUGAGGACUGGAAGACUUUUCCUUGUCUUUUAGAAUCCAAAUCAAUGUUCAAGUUCCCUCGAUAGUUCUGCCCACAAAACAUUCCUCAUUUUCUCUGAACAAACAGCCCUCAAUUUUCUUCUACAUUUAUUUAAUAUCUACACAGUAUCACAUCUUUCACUAUGUCUCAUACUGUGAUGUUUCUCCUCUCAUGUCCAAAUGAAACUCAGAUCUCUUGAGGUCAAGGGCUGUAUUUCAUCAACAUUGUCAAAGCACUUGGCAUUUUGUGCAAGUUGUUGAUAAUCAGUGAACAUUGCUGAAUGAAAGAGUGUGUAAGUGAAUAGAAGCAUUGAAGGUAUUCUUAGCUUUAAGAGGAAAACAGUAGAAGUUCUACAUGUUUUUUGAACUAAAUUAACUUUCAGAGGAAAUUAAAUUCACUUAUGAAUUACAUACAAACAAAUGCAUAAUUUCUAUAGUGCAUGUAUGUCUCACACAUGAGUGUGCAGAAUGAAACCCAGAUUCUCAGUGUGAACCUCCAGGUGAUUUUCCUGUGGAAAUGCAACUUCAAGUCCACUGUUUAAAGACAUUCUCUCUAGAUGUCUAAUUCUCUUUCCUUCCUGUUGGCUGGAAAUAGUGAUAAUAGAGCAACUGUAGAAGCCACAUUGGAGGAUGCAGGAGCUCCACCAACACUCAGCCCAGAACCCUAAAUGACUUUUUGGAGCAGCACCUGCCUGCCUACCUGCUCUGAACUAUUAAGCAAAAGAGAAACUCCCAUCUCAUGUAGUCACUAAACUUUAGGGUCUCUUUAUUAAUCAGUACUCCAACCAGUAUAGCCCUCAACACCUUUCUACUAGUAAUAAAUCCUGCAUGUAUUUCUGUCUUAGCUUAAAUAUUUCUCCCUCACAGAGAUCCUUCCUAGCCUCUCAUUCUUAACCAUUUUCCAUAUCGCUUUCUAUGUUAGGAUUCAAUUCUUUUAUAAAUCUCAGAAC